AGGGGCUGAAUUGGAAGGCUCACGACUUCCCUUGCAGGUGUAAGGAAGCCUGUGAAGCAAUCUAGAGGGUUUUCAUGGCCUCCCUUGAGGCCGCAAGGGAGCUCGUGAACAGCUCUCGGGCUAAGGCCUAUUUAAGGCCCUUCUUGGACCUUCUAGACUCUUCUUUGAGUCUUUCUUCCUCUCCUUCUUCCCCCUCCUAUAGAACCUUCAUUUCCCCUCUCCAAACUCCUCAUCUUUGGCCUACAAAAAAAGGAAGAAGUGGAGAUCUCUCUUCUCCUCUCUUGAAGAAGAGUUUUCUUAGGAUCUUGAGAAGCUUGGUGGAGGUGAGACUUCAAGCAAGGGCAAAGAGCCAGUGGAGAAGUAACACCGGAGGUUUUUGACUCACCAAGUUUCUGAGUGGGAUUUACUAUGGGUUAUAAAUCAUGCAUAUUUUCUAGUACUUAAAUUUCUUGCCUUUAAAUGAUAAAACUCUUGUUGCUAAAACUCUUGAAAUGUUUCCAUGGAAUUUAGAAACCAUGAUGAUUU
Long non-coding RNA from Dioscorea cayenensis subsp. rotundata (Guinea yam), 525 nucleotides. RefSeq lists it as uncharacterized. The transcript has 2 exons. NCBI's taxonomy places the organism in Eukaryota, Viridiplantae, Streptophyta, Magnoliopsida, Dioscoreales, Dioscoreaceae. The record is from RefSeq and is a predicted model, not a curated record.